CAUUCGUAUGAUUAGGUCAAGAGCAUGGAAUGUGUAAUGGGAAUUGCUUAUGUAUUGUCAAUGAUGGCCUUAAAUAAGUGGAUAUACUUUCAUGUAAAUAGUCAAGGCAACACAAGAGAAACUUUACUAUUGAUCUGCUAUCAAUAGAGGAAUUGCAUGUUUAGAGCGUUUCUAAGAUGAAUGGCUUCCCUGCGUGAGGUCUAGGAAGUUCACUCACUGAGUUUAAUCUCACUGUUGUUUGUUAAAAGUUUACAGACCCUAAGAAUGACUGAGCCUUUUCGCCAAAUCCAAUUCGGACUCCACAUAAAGCAUAGCCAAGAGGUCAUUAAGUAUUCGAUAGGGGAGACAGAUGCGUGUUACACGUGCUACGUCACGACCGUUUGGGUCGAUGACGGACCUUCUCAUCUAGUGGAUCAUCGUUUUGUAGCUUGGUAUUUUUUGGUAGAAGAUGAGAGACAUGGUCCCAUUCGCGGUUUUGAUGGACCUUCGAGUGUAGGAGGAUCAGGAGGAGGUGUCAACUAGGAGGCCAUGGACGUGGAUGUUCCCGAUGGGAAGAUGUCUGAUCCUGAGCUUGAUCCUGAUAUGAUCAUCGAGCCGGAGCCAUGGAUUUUGGAGCCCAUAGAUAGUUAGGUGGUAUUUGGGUUAGUAAUACUUUUU
RNAcentral lists this long non-coding RNA (657 nucleotides) under Eucalyptus grandis. RNAcentral's name for it is "long non-coding RNA (EGRA_LNC001627)". Lineage: Eukaryota; Viridiplantae; Streptophyta; Magnoliopsida; Myrtales; Myrtaceae. The record is from RNAcentral.